RNAcentral lists this long non-coding RNA (229 nucleotides) under Erythranthe guttata (spotted monkey flower). RNAcentral describes it as "long non-coding RNA (EGUT_LNC002396)". Lineage: Eukaryota; Viridiplantae; Streptophyta; Magnoliopsida; Lamiales; Phrymaceae. The record is from RNAcentral.
AAUUCAGGACAUGCAGUAUAAGAUUAAAGGUUUUGAGAGCAUAUGUGAAUUCUUGGAUUUUCUGGUCUUGGUGUUUUAGACGCCAUGACUUCAUCAACUGUUGGAUCAUCGUGAAAUUUUUACAGGAGCUUCCUAAUGUGUGAAGCUACGAUUAAAAGUAAACAAAUCGUAUCUCACUUCCAAAAUAUGAAUUUCACAAGCUUGCUGAAGUUUCCUGGCAAUAACAUGC